UUAAAGUCCACCUGAGAUUUCUCGUGUUAAGAUACCCAAUUCCCACCUAAUAUGACGUUAGGUGCUGAAUUCAAUGUGGAAAGCUUAACAUCUAGAAAUUGGAACACAUUAGUAGCAUCAUCCCAAGGUGCAAGAAUAAAGAGCUACCUAUAUGAGCAUGAAGUUUAGCCGCUUCAAGAAGCUAGGACUUGGCUUUGAUAUGUUCAUUGAAGGAUGGGACACAGGCUAGUAAAAAUAGUGUCAAGAAAGAACAUUAGAGUAUGUAAACUUGUGUGUAUAUUAUCUUCAUGUAUUCACUGAAU
This 302-nucleotide long non-coding RNA is filed under the name Helianthus annuus (common sunflower). RNAcentral describes it as "sRNA HanXRQr2_Chr12g0543941". The record is from RNAcentral. Lineage: Eukaryota; Viridiplantae; Streptophyta; Magnoliopsida; Asterales; Asteraceae.